RNAcentral lists this ribosomal RNA (261 nucleotides) under uncultured prokaryote. RNAcentral describes it as "partial 16S ribosomal RNA". It matches the Rfam family "Bacterial small subunit ribosomal RNA", at positions 524 to 784 of the family's 1533-position model. The record is from RNAcentral.
UACGGAGGAUGCGAGCGUUAUCCGGAUUUAUUGGGUUUAAAGGGUGCGUAGGCGGCUUAGUAAGUCAGCGGUGAAAUUUUGCAGCUUAACUGUAAAAUUGCCGUUGAAACUGCCGGUCUUGAGUGCAAAUGAGGUAGGCGGAAUGCGUCGUGUAGCGGUGAAAUGCUUAGAUAUGACGCAGAACUCCGAUUGCGAAGGCAGCUUACUGGGAUGCAACUGACGCUGAGGCACGAAAGCGUGGGGAUCAAACAGGAUUAGAUA